This 1036-nucleotide ribosomal RNA is filed under the name termite gut metagenome. RNAcentral describes it as "bacterial SSU rRNA". It matches the Rfam family "Bacterial small subunit ribosomal RNA", at positions 8 to 1045 of the family's 1533-position model. The record is from RNAcentral.
AGAGUUUGAUCCUGGCUCAGGAUGAACGCUAGCGGGAGGCUUAACACAUGCAAGUCGAGGGGUAACAGGGUCUUCGGAUCGCUGACGACCGGCGCACGGGUGAGUAACGCGUAUGCAACCUGCCCUUUACAGGGACAUAGCCCGAAGAAAUUCGGAUUAAUUUCCCAUAGCUUGUUAAAUUCGCAUGAAUUUAACAAUAAAGCUCCGGCGGUAAAGGAUGGGCAUGCGUCCCAUUAGCUAGUUGGCGAGGUAACGGCUCACCAAGGCGACGAUGAUUAGGGGUUCUGAGAGGAAGGUCCCCCACACUGGAACUGAGACACGGUCCAGACUCCUACGGGAGGCAGCAGUGAGGAAUAUUGGUCAAUGGGCGGAAGCCUGAACCAGCCAUCCCGCGUGCAGGAUGACAGUCCUAGUGAUUGUAAACUGCUUUUCUAUAAGAAGAAUAAGGUCUACGUGUAGACCGAUGACAGUAUUAUAGGAAUAAGCAUCGGCUAACUCCGUGCCAGCAGCCGCGGUAAUACGGAGGAUGCGAGCGUUAUCCGGAUUUAUUGGGUUUAAAGGGUGCGUAGGUGGGAAUUUAAGUCAGCGGUGAAAGGUUUUAGCUUAACUAGGACAUUGCCGUUGAAACUGGGUUUCUUGAGUGUGAACGAGGUAGGCGGAAUUCGUGGUGUAGCGGUGAAAUGCAUAGAUAUCACGAAGAACUCCGAUUGCGAAGGCAGCUUACUAAGCUACCACUGACGCUGAAGCACGAAAGCGUGGGAAUCAAACAGGAUUAGAUACCCUGGUAGUCCACACAGUAAACGAUGAAUACUAGUUGUUGGCGAUAUACAGUCAGUAACACAGCGAAAGCGUUAAGUAUUCCACCUGGGGAGUACGUUCGCAAGAAUGAAACUCAAAGGAAUUGACGGGGGCCCGCACAAGCGGAGGAACAUGUGGUUUAAUUCGAUGAUACGCGAGGAACCUUACCCGGGCUUGAAAUGCAGACGACUAGAGAUGAAAGUCUUUAUCCAGCAAUGGCGUCUGUGUAGGUGCUGCA